CCAGCCGCGUUACUACCGUAGGUGGCGAAGCGUUAAUCCUGGAACUUAUUCGGGCGUAAAGAGCUCGUAGGCGGUUUGUCCGCGUCUGUCGUGAAAGUCCCGGGGCUUAACCCCGGGAUCUGCGGGUGGGUACGGGCAGACUAGAGUGCAGUAGGGGAGACUGGAAUUCCUGGUGUAGCGGUGGAAUGCGCAGAUAUCAGGAGGAACACCGAUGGCGAAGGCAGGUCUCUGGGCUGUAACUGACGCUGAGGAGCGAAAGCAUGGGGAGCGAACAGGAUUAGAUACCCUGGUAGUCCAUGCCGUAAACGUUGGGCACUAGGUGUGGGGACCAUUCCACGGUUUCCGCGCCGCAGCUAACGCAUUAAGUGCCCCGCCUGGGGAGUACGGCCGCAAGGCUAAAACUCAAAGGAAUUGACGGGGGCCCGCACAAGCGGCGGAGCAUGCGGAUUAAUUCGAUGCAACGCGAAGAACCUUACCAAGGCUUGACAUGUUCUCGAUCGCCGUAGAGAUACGGUUUCCCCUUUGGGGCGGGUUCACAGGUGGUGCAUGGUUGUCGUCAGCUCGUGUCGUGAGAUGUUGGGUUAAGUCCCGCAACGAGCGCAACCCUCGUUCCAUGUUGCCAGCACGUCGUGGUGGGGACUCAUGGGAGACUGCCGGGGUCAACUCGGAGGAAGGUGAGGACGACGUCAAAUCAUCAUGCCCCUUAUGUCUUGGGCUUCACGCAUGCUACAAUGGCCGGUACAAUGGGUUGCGAUACUGUGAGGUGGAGCUAAUCCCAAAAAGCCGGUCUCAGUUCGGAUUGGGGUCUGCAACUCGACCCCAUGAAGUCGGAGUCGCUAGUAAUCGCAGAUCAGCAACGGUGUCGAUUGGCGG
Molecule: ribosomal RNA, 873 nt
Filed under: Micrococcus luteus
Lineage: Bacteria; Bacillati; Actinomycetota; Actinomycetes; Micrococcales; Micrococcaceae
Description: bacterial SSU rRNA
Rfam family: Bacterial small subunit ribosomal RNA
Source: RNAcentral